Molecule: ribosomal RNA, 356 nt
Filed under: Ara macao (Scarlet macaw)
Lineage: Eukaryota; Metazoa; Chordata; Aves; Psittaciformes; Psittacidae
Description: partial 12S small subunit ribosomal RNA
Rfam family: Bacterial small subunit ribosomal RNA
Source: RNAcentral
UAGCCCUAAAUCUUGAUGACCCCAAACACAAACAUCCGCCUGAGAACUACGAGCACAAACGCUUAAAACUCUAAGGACUUGGCGGUGCUCUAAACCCACCUAGAGGAGCCUGUUCUAUAAUCGAUAACCCACGAUUCACCCGACCACCUCUUGCCAAAACAGCCUAUAUACCGCCGUCGCCAGCCCACCUCGUGAGAGCACAACAGUGAGCCCAACAGCCCACAGCCCACUAACAAGACAGGUCGAGGUAUAGCCUAUGAGGUGGAAGAAAUGGGCUACAUUUUCUAAAAUAGAAAACCCAACGAAAAGGGGCUUGAAACCUGCCCCCAGAAGGCGGAUUUAGCAGUAAAGUAGGA